UUUAGAUAAUGUUUUUAGAUAGUUUAGUCUUUUUGUUUAUUUAUUUAUUUUACCUUAUUUAAGCUUAGAGUAACGAGUGGACCAGAGAUUAAAUAGUCCUAGAAAUUUGAUUGUACAUAGAGGAUGAUUAGUUAGUCCAAGAAAAUAACAUUAUCGUUAUCUUUAUGCAUUCAAGAAUCUCGCAAGCUCCUGAACACAAAUUCCUCAAAGUGAAAGCGCUAUAAACAUAAAACAUCCCAAGUGUUAAUUACUAAGAAGUUCGUAAACCAUUCAGUAUGUGGUCAUUUAAUUUACUUCUUGCAUAUUUGAUCAUAUAUAUACUCUUUUAGUGAAUACUAGUUACUAAGCUACUCACAAGUUAGGCCAUAACAAAGAUAAUCACACAUUUUGUCGAUUGUAUGAUGAUACUCACACAUAUAUCAACAAUCACAUAUUUAAAAAUGUAUUCAAUCAAUUCAGUAUUAUGUAAAAGAUUCAUCUGAAAAAGAAAAUUAAAAAAGUUGGAUAUUGUAUGUUGAGAAUUGAUAGUCACAUAUAUAUACAUAGGUAAAAAAGUAAAAUAGUAAUAGAAGUCUCGUUACCCCAUUCAACCAAAAAGAUAUAAGUGGGUGUGCUAUUCAUACAACACUGUCCCAGUUUAGAUAUAAAAGAUCACAUAGUCCAUCUCGGAGCAGUACCCACCACUCUCAUUCGGUGAAAAAAGGAAAACAACCACAAGAAGAGAUCGUAAUACCUAUUUUACCCCUGCCAACCUGUCAUCUGCGGACCGACCAGAAUAGUAGUGGGCAUGGAGCUUUGAACUCUUUUGAAACUUUGUGGGCCCUUUGUGUACCGCUUGUCUCUUCGUUCAAGAAGACCCGAUAAGUAAAAAGGGCAUUCACCCGACCCGGUAAUUGAAAUUUGUAUCCAACCGAGCUGACUCGGUAAGUAAAAAAUCAUCCACCCGAACCAAACCGGAAUGUAAAAAUGGAAUCCACUGUCCAAAACCGAAGCGGGUCAAUUAAACUCAACUCGGAUUAUCUGGCCGAUCCGGCCUAUCUUUCUUGGAUUCGAUCACCAACGUCAGAAGCAAGCUCCGGAAAGAGUGAAAUUUGAAGAAUGACAGCUGGCAGACGUUCAUUGGUUGAUCAUUAAAGUCGUUACAAGUAGUUAUAGAAGAAACAUAGUAUAAAACAGAGACAUUGUAAUCUUUUUUCAUCCAAACGAAACCAUUGUAAACUUUUCUCAAGUCUAAUACAAUUCUCUUGGUGUUCUCUUUGAAGAUCCUUCUCUCUUCGAGAUAUUCUGCAGGUGAGCUAAGGUUCUUUGUUAAUUCAACUUUUGCUAGGUACCGUGAGGCUAUAGGGUUGCACAUUGAUGCGUUUUGGAAAAAGAAUAGUCUUGUUUUGUUUGGAGCUGGUGGUGUUUUUGUAUGUUUGGAGGAUUAUGUUUGGAAUUGCAAGCACAUUUGUUGGUCUCUCAGAGGGCACGGCCAAGUAUAGGUUUCUAGCUCUCUCCUCAGCCAUAGUAGCUUUUUCUGUAAGUUUUGCUGUUUAUCUGCUUUCAUUGUUUGCUCGAUUUCUUAGGACUGUGCAAUACAUUCCCGGUUGGUUUUGGAAACUACUGUUAUAUGCAAUGAUAUUGGUUUGGUUUCACCUGGACUUGAGCUGUAGGAAGGUUCUGCUAGUAGUAGUAAUGCAGUAUAUUUUUUAUGCAUGGCUAUUCGGUUUUGGUUAUAUAGAUUUAAGAACUGUUUGGGUAUUUAUAAAUUUUGGUUUGAUUUUGGUUUGGUUCGGACAGUAAAGUUGGGGACCAGCUAAUAUCCAAAAAAAUCUGGGUCCAAUUUGAUUCCUGAUUUUUGGGUAAUUUUGGAUAAUAUGAUUAAAAAUCGAAUAAUUUGGGGUUUUCAAGUUAGACAUCUGGUUGUUUAGAAAAAAAUCUUGUGCAAUUCAGAUCAUUUUAAAUACUUGAAUAACAAAAUAUUCUGAUAAUUCGGCUUUUCGGAUAGUUCGGUUUAUAAAUGUGCCCAAACCUAGUUUAUAGGAUGCAAAAAUUGCUAUAUGAGAUGGUUUUGUUUGCUGUGACACUCUCCUACUAUCAUAUCAUAAGAAAUCACUCCUUAUUUUCUAUUGAUAAGGACUAUACCACUUUCUAGUGACUUCUUAUGAUAUGAUAGUAGGAGAAUGUCACAGCAAGCGUUGCUUACGAGCUUAUGUGAUGUCAGGUAGUGGCAUUACAUUCAAGAAAUUCAAGCCAACAGUUUAGAGCAAGCGUUGCUUUCUCCUAUUCCCUGUUCAAGGUUCUGAGAGAAAGGGACUUGUUACCGCCGAAAUUAAGAAGAAAGGCCAGGUAUGAAGAAGGGUACAAAGUCGGUGGUGAUUUAAUCUCUGUGUUAAGAGACCCUGUUGUAAAGCCAUGACAGCAACCAAGGAGUUUGAUAAUCUUGAUAGUAUCGAAGAGGGAGAAGACGCUGAAAGAGAACUUCAAGAAGCUGAAAGAAAGCACCGUGAAGAGAUUGAGAAGCUCGAGAAAGAGAGCUCUUAAUUCGUUUUUUUUUUCAUCUUCUCUGGUAAACGUUUCUUCACAUCUUCAAUAUCUCAUCAGUGGAUAUAAUAAGAACAACACAUGACGACUUAUAAAAUUCAGAAUACAUCAUCAAACCAGAAUAAUGCAGAAUAUAUCAUGUUUGAAUAUUAUUUUUUAUUCCUAGUUUUGAGAGAGAGUACAUAAUUCAUGUUGAAUUAAAUUUAAGAUUAAUUAGUGGACACAUGACGACUUAUAAAAUUUGUCCUACAGCAACAGAAAGGAUUUUUCCUUUCCCUUGGUACACAAACUCCCCCCAAUUUGAAUCCGAGAGAUUCACAAUGAGCAGUGCAAUCCUUGUCCUUAGGACAAGUGCCAUAAUCAUGUGGUUCACAGUCUUUCUCACCUGUUUAGCUCAUAAAAGUUAAUAACAUAUAUUUUUGAUCAAAAAAGUUAAUAAUAUUUUAAAAUAAGAAAAGAAUACAAUAUACUAAUAACUUGCAAUAACAUAAAAAUAUAAAACGCAAAUAAAGACAAAACAUCUUGCAUCUACUGAUUCUUAUUUAAAAUAUUUUUUUGGGAUUUUAAGAUAAAGAUUUAUUUUGUUGAAAGGGUUUAAAAGAUAAUACCUGAAACUCUAGAGAUAAAUGUGAGAGUAAGCAUAACCAUCAACAAAGG
This is a long non-coding RNA of Brassica rapa (field mustard), 3180 nucleotides long. RefSeq lists it as uncharacterized. Lineage: Eukaryota; Viridiplantae; Streptophyta; Magnoliopsida; Brassicales; Brassicaceae. The record is from RefSeq and is a predicted model, not a curated record.